Molecule: ribosomal RNA, 1489 nt
Filed under: Lactiplantibacillus plantarum
Lineage: Bacteria; Bacillati; Bacillota; Bacilli; Lactobacillales; Lactobacillaceae
Description: bacterial SSU rRNA
Rfam family: Bacterial small subunit ribosomal RNA
Source: RNAcentral
GACGAACGCUGGCGGCGUGCCUAAUACAUGCAAGUCGAACGAACUCUGGUAUUGAUUGGUGCUUGCAUCAUGAUUUACAUUUGAGUGAGUGGCGAACUGGUGAGUAACACGUGGGAAACCUGCCCAGAAGCGGGGGAUAACACCUGGAAACGGAUGCUAAUACCGCAUAACAACUUGGACCGCAUGGUCUGAGUUUGAAAGAUGGCUUCGGCUAUCACUUUUGGAUGGUCCCGCGGCGUAUUAGCUAGAUGGUGGGGUAACGGCUCACCAUGGCAAUGAUACGUAGCCGACCUGAGAGGGUAAUCGGCCACAUUGGGACUGAGACACGGCCCAAACUCCUACGGGAGGCAGCAGUAGGGAAUCUUCCACAAUGGACGAAAGUCUGAUGGAGCAACGCCGCGUGAGUGAAGAAGGGUUUCGGCUCGUAAAACUCUGUUGUUAAAGAAGAACAUAUCUGAGAGUAACUGUUCAGGUAUUGACGGUAUUUAACCAGAAAGCCACGGCUAACUACGUGCCAGCAGCCGCGGUAAUACGUAGGUGGCAAGCGUUGUCCGGAUUUAUUGGGCGUAAAGCGAGCGCAGGCGGUUUUUUAAGUCUGAUGUGAAAGCCUUCGGCUCAACCGAAGAAGUGCAUCGGAAACUGGGAAACUUGAGUGCAGAAGAGGACAGUGGAACUCCAUGUGUAGCGGUGAAAUGCGUAGAUAUAUGGAAGAACACCAGUGGCGAAGGCGGCUGUCUGGUCUGUAACUGACGCUGAGGCUCGAAAGUAUGGGUAGCAAACAGGAUUAGAUACCCUGGUAGUCCAUACCGUAAACGAUGAAUGCUAAGUGUUGGAGGGUUUCCGCCCUUCAGUGCUGCAGCUAACGCAUUAAGCAUUCCGCCCGGGGAGUACGGCCGCAAGGCUGAAACUCAAAGGAAUUGACGGGGGCCCGCACAAGCGGUGGAGCAUGUGGUUUAAUUCGAAGCUACGCGAAGAACCUUACCAGGUCUUGACAUACUAUGCAAAUCUAAGAGAUUAGACGUUCCCUUCAGGGACAUGGAUACAGGUGGUGCAUGGUUGUCGUCAGCUCGUGUCGUGAGAUGUUGGGUUAAGUCCCGCAACGAGCGCAACCCUUAUUAUCAGUUGCCAGCAUUAAGUUGGGCACUCUGGUGAGACUGCCGGUGACAAACCGGAGGAAGGUGGGGAUGACGUCAAAUCAUCAUGCCCCUUAUGACCUGGGCUACACACGUGCUACAAUGGAUGGUACAACGAGUUGCGAACUCGCGAGAGUAAGCUAAUCUCUUAAAGCCAUUCUCAGUUCGGAUUGUAGGCUGCAACUCGCCUACAUGAAGUCGGAAUCGCUAGUAAUCGCGGAUCAGCAUGCCGCGGUGAAUACGUUCCCGGGCCUUGUACACACCGCCCGUCACACCAUGAGAGUUUGUAACACCCAAAGUCGGUGGGGUAACCUUUUAGGAACCAGCCGCCUAAGGUGGGACAGAUGAUUAGGGUG